CCUACGGGAGGCUGCAGUGGGGAAUAUUGGACAAUGGGGGCAACCCUGAUCCAGCCAUGCCGCGUGUGUGAAGAAGGCCCUCGGGUUGUAAAGCACUUUCAGUGAGGAAGAACGCCUGGUGGUUAAUACCCAUCAGGAAAGACAUCACUCACAGAAGAAGCACCGGCUAACUCCGUGCCAGCAGCCGCGGUAAUACGGAGGGUGCGAGCGUUAAUCGGAAUUACUGGGCGUAAAGCGCGCGUAGGUGGCUUGAUAAGCCGGUUGUGAAAGCCCCGGACUCAACCUGGGAACGGCAUCCGGAACUGUCAAGCUAGAGUGCAGGAGAGGAAGGUAGAAUUCCCGGUGUAGCGGUGAAAUGCGUAGAGAUCGGGAGGAAUACCAGUGGCGAAGGCGGCCUUCUGGACUGACACUGACACUGAGGUGCGAAAGCGUGGGUAGCAAACAGGAUUAGAUACCCCUGUAGUC
This 465-nucleotide ribosomal RNA is filed under the name Vreelandella stevensii. Its description in RNAcentral is "partial 16S ribosomal RNA". It matches the Rfam family "Bacterial small subunit ribosomal RNA", at positions 338 to 795 of the family's 1533-position model. The record is from RNAcentral. Lineage: Bacteria; Pseudomonadati; Pseudomonadota; Gammaproteobacteria; Oceanospirillales; Halomonadaceae.